AAAUACAUUUGGUAAAAUACAUUUUGUAUCCCAGACCUUGUUCUAACUCAAUGGAAAGGAAUGAAAGGUUUAAAUUCACACAUUUCCCCCCUAAUGAAACCAGCUGUAGAAAAGACACACAAAAGCACACAACAAUUAUCUUCACUUUCAUUUCCUUUGGUUAGAGACUGUGUGAACAUGAUACGGUCUCACUCAAAAGGUGCUUCAGCAUUGACAUUUGGAUGACAAAGCUGCUCUGAGACUCAGUGCUAGGCUGCCACUGCCACUGAGGAAUUCCUCCUCACACAGCGCCGCAUUGUUGCCUGUUCACAUCAGUACAACAAAAUCUCAUUAAACAAUAUAAUAAAAAUCAUGUACUCCAGGACCAUAUGAUUAUGUUAUCCCCAACA
Long non-coding RNA from Sinocyclocheilus grahami, 389 nucleotides. RefSeq lists it as uncharacterized. The transcript is spliced from 3 exons. The record is from RefSeq and is a predicted model, not a curated record. NCBI's taxonomy places the organism in Eukaryota, Metazoa, Chordata, Actinopteri, Cypriniformes, Cyprinidae.